Molecule: long non-coding RNA, 3227 nt
Filed under: Olea europaea (common olive)
Lineage: Eukaryota; Viridiplantae; Streptophyta; Magnoliopsida; Lamiales; Oleaceae
Description: long non-coding RNA (OEUR_LNC005929)
Source: RNAcentral
ACAUUGAUGCUACAAUUAUAGGAGAACCUGUUGAGAAGUGCUUACAAUGUUCCGCACUCACAUUGAUGAAACACAACUCUGGUACCUACCUCAAACACAUUGUUAAAUUAUUAUACUAUCAUACAUUCAAUUACAUUGCUAAAUCCAACACAAUCCUAUUUUAGCAUGAGAAGACAAACCUCACAGAACCCAUCCAUGCCUCAUCAGAUUAAGAUCUAUUUUUCUAUGUAAAAGCAAUAAAAUAAAACAAUGGAGAAGAAUACGAGCACAAUGUAAUCUUCAUUGUAAAUCCAUCUUCAACAACAGGAAAAAGGCCAUAUGCAAGCAUUGAUAAAACCACAUCUCUAACUCCAUUUGCUGAAUCACUACACCUCACCAUGAUUCUAACGCAUCAUCACCAAAAAGAGUUGUUCUUAACUUCUAGUCCUUUGCAGUUCAAAAACAAACAAGAUGACAGAGAUGAUAGUGGCAAAGGUUUUGCAUUGAAGUAUGAUGAGUAUUCUGACUGAUGUAAAAUGUUUCAACAUUGGAGAAAUGAUGCAAGUUAGAAAUGGUUUUUGCUCUUUUUGUCUCAUACCAGUUAGUGCAAGAUGUAACAAGAAAUAGAUUCUGGAAUUUUUAAAUGAACUUUAAAAUAUCACUUUUAUUUUAAGCUACUCAUGAAGCAGCUAUCAAACCAAACAUUAUAUGUAGUUUGGCUCUUUAACUGUUCUACAUUCAUACUCUGCUAAUCUGUUCAGUUAUAUUAAAUAGUAUGAUGAUUUUUGGUAUUUACUAUCUUUUUCGUUAAUGUUCAGAUCAUCUAUAUCCAUUGUGUAGAUUGUACAAGUUCUGAUUAAUUCUUGACAUUUUACUUUUGCCAUCAUUUCUCAACAAUUCUAAUUUAUACAAAAAAUAUUUCUUUUUCCUUCGACACUGCUACUGACACGACCCGUCCGAAUCAUCCUAGUAGAUCUGAUAUGUGUCGUGUGCUGAUGGUAGAUACCAGCUAAACGCCGAACCCAUCACCAAGGCAACUGUGACUUGCUUGACUGAAAAAUAUUUUUAACAAAAUUUUUACAGAGUUUCUCCUAAAAUAUGAACUAAAACCACCUGAACAAUAACCAAGUUUCCUCAAUUCAUUACCUAUAAUAUAAAACAGGGUACGCCAGUCCCUCAGAAUACAAACUAUGCAAAUAAAAUGCUGGCCAUUCAAUAUUUACUUGCUUUACAACCAACAACCCUCAAAUAUACCAAAUACAUCAAAUAUGUAAUGAACCCAUGAUGAAUUUUUUUGAUUUAAGAUACAUGUACCCCAAAAGAACACAUAUUGUAUAAUCUAAUAAAGAAUGUCAUACAAUCUACAAAGCAUGGCUCAAUUCAAUGGUUUAAUAGGCUCUAAAACUGCUCAAUUCGGCUGUUAACUGAUAAAGAAAAUGUUGAAAAGAUGCAUGAGCUUAUUGCUCAGUGAGUGGAUAAUUUGCAAAUGAACAUAUUUUUCUUUUAUGCAUAUAUUCUGAAAAUUCUAACUCUUUUAAAACUUUGAGAAACUCUGAAAUCCAGCAACACUUUUAAAACUAAACAUGAGUGCAUUAUAAAAUUAUUUGUUCUUAAUUCUGGAUAAGCGACUAUAAAGUAUAAUGACAUAAAUAAUCUGAUAUCCAUGAAAAUCUAUGAAAUAUUGUUGUUACUCAAUGCUAUAAGCUGAAUACUUUAUUCUGAAAACUGAAUUAACUGAAUUCUAUAAUCUGAAAUCUAAUAAACUGUAUAAAUACUGAAAAAUCACACAAAAAGGUACCCAAUGAAUAGCCUUGCUCAUGUACAGAGUAAUCUCGAUGUACAAGGCAAAGACAUUCAAAUCUGAUAAUCUAGUAAUCUGAUAAUCUGGUCAUACGUACGCAGAGCUGCCCCAAAGGCUAAUUACCUUAGUACAUGGCCUAAAGCCUAUUUGUGCAUGAGAGUGGGUCCCAAAGACCUCUGAUAAUCUGAUAAUCUGGUCAUACACUAUGGAAACACAUUCACAAUAAUGCAGAGCGCGUAAAAUCACCAUACCUGAUCAUACACUGUGGAAACACAUUCACACCAGUGCAGAUUGAAGUAAAAUCACCUGGAUACUUUAUGGUGAUUUUUAGAAAUAACUUUAACUAUACUGAAACAUAUAAUACGAAUAGAACAUGCUACUAAAAUGAUUUAACCGAACUGAAUCAAACAAUAAAAAGAACUAAUUAUAAAAUCAGUUUUUAUUCUGAAAAUCAUGCUAUCAACUUAGCCUUAUAAAAUAAGUAACUUCAAAAUUUAAUGAAUACUUAUUUUUGAAAAAUAAGUCUUAUCCACUCACUGCUCUAUGGAUAAAAUUUUUGGCUAAAUUAAUGGGUAUCUCCAAACUUUCACGUCAUUACCUGAAAUAACAGUAUAAUAACUCAAAUUAAAAUAUGACAAUUAAACUAAUGCAAAGUCACCACCUAAUUCCUCAACUUUCAAAUUUUCUCUUGAAUCUCCGUUUCUCGAUACUUGAAUGAAUUCCCCAAAUUUUCUUCUCUCUAACGAUUUAUCAACUAAUUACCAUUCGUUAUCAAAUUCAUUAAAUCACUUGCACUUCCUUAAAAUUGCUACCUUAUUCAUAUACAACCCCUAUAUCAAAUUUAGUCAAAUACAUAAACUUCAAUAUUUGUAAUAUAACUUCAUUCAAACCUUUAAAAAUCUGAAAAUAAGAGCUUUGACAAAAAAAACAAUAUAAUCCCAUAAUAUUAAAAUCUGGUAUCAAAACCUUUGACAGAAAUAGCGCUAUUCUGGGCAGAUUUUCAAUAACAGCACCUGAAUAAGAUUUUGUCCAAAAAUGACUUAUAUUAAUUACUUAAAAAUGGAGAAAUCAACCCCAAAUCCUUAAUUUAAGUGCUUGACAUCAUAUAAUCCCAAAAUGAUCAAAGAAUAAAUAUCCAUUUCAUAAACCCAUUUACAAAGUUCCACUCUUUAUUCAACUUCAACAUUCAAAUAAAUAUAUUUCUUCGCUAUAUUUCUAAUUAUAACACCAAAUACAUAUUAAUAAUACCUAAUUCUAGCUAAGUUUUGAAUUGAAACAAAUUUUCCAUAAAGCCUAAGAAAAUUUAAUUCAAUAUACUUGUUCUUACCUCUCUAAAUUAAAUGAGAAAUUGAAGAAUAGAGCACCAAGCUUGGAAAUCCACUUCCUCUUCUCCUCCUCCUCCUCUUCCUUUCUUUCUUCUCUUCUCUCGGUCUUUCUCGACUUUUCC